This 474-nucleotide ribosomal RNA is filed under the name uncultured bacterium. RNAcentral describes it as "bacterial SSU rRNA". It matches the Rfam family "Bacterial small subunit ribosomal RNA", at positions 28 to 490 of the family's 1533-position model. The record is from RNAcentral.
GACGAACGCUGGCGGCGUGCCUAAUACAUGCAAGUCGAGCGGAUUUGUUCCUUCGGGGACAAGUUAGCGGCGGACGGGUGAGUAACACGUAGGUAACCUGCCUAUAAGACUGGGAUAACUAUCGGAAACGAUAGCUAAGACCGGAUAACUGGUUUUCUCGCAUGAGAGAACUAUGAAACACGGAGCAAUCUGUGACUUAUAGAUGGGCCUGCGGCGCAUUAGCUAGUUGGAGGGUAAUGGCCUACCAAGGCGACGAUGCGUAGCCGACCUGAGAGGGUGACCGGCCACACUGGGACUGAGACACGGCCCAGACUCCUACGGGAGGCAGCAGUAGGGAAUCUUCCGCAAUGGACGCAAGUCUGACGGAGCAACGCCGCGUGAGUGAUGAAGGUUUUCGGAUCGUAAAGCUCUGUUGCCCUAGACGAACAGCAUGAGGAGUAACUGCCUUGUGUGUGACGGUAUAGGAGAAGAAAG